Molecule: small nuclear RNA, 102 nt
Organism: Eptesicus fuscus (big brown bat)
Lineage: Eukaryota; Metazoa; Chordata; Mammalia; Chiroptera; Vespertilionidae
Source: RefSeq, a predicted model, not a curated record
GUGCUCUCUUCAGCAGCACAUUUACUAAAAUUGGAACAAUAAAGAGAUUAGCAAGGCCCCUGCACCAGCAUGACACAGAUUCGUGAAGCAUUCUACACACAA